AUUGAACGCUGGCGGCAUGCCUUACACAUGCAAGUCGAACGGCAGCACGGGAGCAAUCCUGGUGGCGAGUGGCGAACGGGUGAGUAAUAUAUCGGAACGUGCCCAGUCGUGGGGGAUAACGCAGCGAAAGCUGUGCUAAUACCGCAUACGAUCUAAGGAUGAAAGCGGGGGAUCGCAAGACCUCGCGCGAUUGGAGCGGCCGAUAUCAGAUUAGCUAGUUGGUGGGGUAAAGGCCCACCAGGGCGACGAUCUGUAGCUGGUCUGAGAGGACGACCAGCCACACUGGAACUGAGACACGGUCCAGACUCCUACGGGAGGCAGCAGUGGGGAAUUUUGGACAAUGGGCGCAAGCCUGAUCCAGCAAUGCCGCGUGCAGGAUGAAGGCCUUCGGGUUGUAAACUGUUUUUGUACGGAACGAAACGGCCCUUUCUAAUACAGGGGGCUAAUGACGGUACCGUAAGAAUAAGCACCGGCUAACUACGUGCCAGCCGCCGCCGUAA
Molecule: ribosomal RNA, 500 nt
Filed under: uncultured bacterium
Lineage: Bacteria
Description: partial 16S ribosomal RNA
Rfam family: Bacterial small subunit ribosomal RNA
Source: RNAcentral